Non-coding RNA from Acanthosepion pharaonis, 113 nucleotides. NCBI's taxonomy places the organism in Eukaryota, Metazoa, Mollusca, Cephalopoda, Sepiida, Sepiidae. The record is from the annotation of a GenBank genome assembly.
UUACGGCCAUAUCAGGUUGUAACACCGCUUCUUAUCCGAUCACAUAAGUUAAGCAACGUCGACCAUGGUCAGUACCUAGAACGGUGACCGCUUGCGUAUACCAGGUGCUGUAA